AGAUUAUUAAGAUGUUAAGGUCAGGCACAGUGGCUCACGCUUGUAAUCCCAGCACUUUGGGAGGCCAAGGCAGGCGGAUCAUUUGAGGCCAGGAGUUAAAAGACCAGCCUGGCCAACAUGGCAAAACCCCUUCUCUAUUUGCAAAUUGCCCAGUUUCGAGUAUGUCUUUAUCAGCAGCGUGAAAACAGACUAACACACUUGUUUAUUGUUGUUGACUACCCAAUCACCAGAAAAACCUGUUAGUCAAUCAAAACUGGGUUUAUGAGAUUUCCUGCAAUAAAGAAGCAGACCACUUUGACAGAAUCUUAGUAGUGUUUCAAAAUGAGAAGUUAGAGCAGAGUCUUUGUGGGGAUUUAAGGCUUC
RNAcentral lists this long non-coding RNA (363 nucleotides) under Homo sapiens (human). RNAcentral describes it as "non-protein coding lnc-LYPLA1-4:1". The record is from RNAcentral. Lineage: Eukaryota; Metazoa; Chordata; Mammalia; Primates; Hominidae.